AUAAAGUUGGCAGAUUAGUGCAAGUAAUUUAGGUUUACUUUAUAAGGGUGAUACUCUUACUUUAUA
Molecule: transfer RNA, 66 nt
Filed under: Sepiadarium kochi
Lineage: Eukaryota; Metazoa; Mollusca; Cephalopoda; Sepiida; Sepiadariidae
Description: tRNA-Leu
Source: RNAcentral